This 430-nucleotide ribosomal RNA is filed under the name uncultured bacterium. RNAcentral describes it as "bacterial SSU rRNA". It matches the Rfam family "Archaeal small subunit ribosomal RNA", at positions 339 to 776 of the family's 1478-position model. The record is from RNAcentral.
GCGAGAAAACUUUGCAAUGUGCGAAAGCACGACAAGGUUAAUCCGAGUGGUUUCUGCUAAAGAAACCUUUUGUCAGUCCUAGAAACACUAACGAAUAAGGGGUGGGCAAGUUCUGGUGUCAGCCGCCGCGGUAAAACCAGCACCUCAAGUGGUCAGGAUGAUUAUUGGGCCUAAAGCAUCCGUAGCUCGUUUUGUAAGUUUUCGGUUAAAUCCAUACGCUUAACGUAUGGGCUGCCGGGAAUACUGCAUAACUAGGAAGUGGGAGAGGUAGACGGUACUCGGUAGGAAGGGGUAAAAUCCUUUGAUCUAUUGAUGACCACCUGUGGCGAAGGCGGUCUACCAGAACACGUUCGACGGUGAGGGAUGAAAGCUGGGGGAGCAAACCGGAUUAGAUACCCGAGUAGUCCCUGAGCGGGCUGGCAAGGCGCAU